GAUGAAGAACGCAGUGAAAUGCGAUAAGUAAUGUGAAUUGCAGAAUUCAGUGAAUCAUCGAGUCUUUGAACGCACAUUGCGCCCCCUGGUAUUCCGGGGGGCAUGCCUGUCCGAGCGUCAUUGCUGCCCUCAAGCACGGCUUGUGUGUUGGGCCCCCGUCCCCGGUUUCCCCCGGGGACGGGCCCGAAAGGCAGCGGCGGCACCGCGCCCGGUCCUCGAGCGUAUGGGGCUUUGUCACCCGCUCUGUAGGCCCGGCCGGCGCCAGCCGACACCCAACUUUAUUUCUAAGGUUGACCUCGGAUCAGGUAGGGAUACCCGCUGAACUUAAGCAUAUCAAUAAGCGGAGGA
RNAcentral lists this unclassified non-coding RNA (348 nucleotides) under soil metagenome. Its description in RNAcentral is "partial contains 5.8S ribosomal RNA, internal transcribed spacer 2, and large subunit ribosomal RNA". The stretch from base 1 to 120 matches the Rfam family "5.8S ribosomal RNA", at positions 35 to 154 of the family's 154-position model. The record is from RNAcentral.